AGAAGAUAUGAAAGGAAAGCGGCGGACGGGUGAGUAACGCGUGAGUAACCUGCCUAUCAGAGGGGGACAACAUUUCGAAAGGGAUGCUAAUACCGCAUGAUAUCUAAGUACCGCAUGGUAUUUAGAUCAAAGAUUUAUCGCUGAUAGAUGGACUCGCGUCUGAUUAGCUAGUUGGUGAGGUAACGGCUCACCAAGGCGACGAUCAGUAGCCGAACUGAGAGGUUGAUCGGCCACAUUGGGACUGAGACACGGCCCAGACUCC
Molecule: ribosomal RNA, 262 nt
Filed under: uncultured Eubacteriales bacterium
Lineage: Bacteria; Bacillati; Bacillota; Clostridia; Eubacteriales
Description: uncultured Clostridiales bacterium partial 16S ribosomal RNA
Rfam family: Bacterial small subunit ribosomal RNA
Source: RNAcentral